This 77-nucleotide transfer RNA is filed under the name Coriobacteriia bacterium. Its description in RNAcentral is "tRNA-Arg". It matches the Rfam family "tRNA". From Rfam's summary of the family: Transfer RNA (tRNA) molecules are approximately 80 nucleotides in length. Their secondary structure includes four short double-helical elements and three loops (D, anti-codon, and T loops). Further hydrogen bonds mediate the characteristic L-shaped molecular structure. tRNAs have two regions of fundamental functional importance: the anti-codon, which is responsible for specific mRNA codon recognition, and the 3' end, to which the tRNAs corresponding amino acid is attached (by aminoacyl-tRNA synthetases). tRNAs cope with the degeneracy of the genetic code in two manners: having more than one tRNA (with a specific anti-codon) for a particular amino acid; and 'wobble' base-pairing, i.e. permitting non-standard base-pairing at the 3rd anti-codon position. Lineage: Bacteria; Bacillati; Actinomycetota; Coriobacteriia. The record is from RNAcentral.
GCGCCCUUAGCUCAGCCGGAUAGAGCGUGUGACUACGAAUCACAAGGUCGGGGGUUCGAAUCCCUCAGGGCGCGCCA